GAUGAAGAACGCAGCGAAAUGCGAUAAGUAGUGUGAAUUGCAGAAUUCCGUGAAUCAUCGAAUCUUUGAACGCACAUUGCGCCUUCUGGUAUUCCGGAAGGCAUGCCUGUUCGAGAGUCAUUAACAACCGUUUCGAUCCCAUUCUUUCAGAAAUUACAAAGAGGAAAAGGGUUUGGUUAUGGUGGAGGAGGGAAAGGGAGCGUUUAGCCUGUAAAAAAAGAGGCUGUGUUCCGCCUCCCCCCCAAAAUUGUACAGGCGGUCGUGUGCGCCCACGCAUCGAGGUGUUGUAAAAGCUGCCACGGCACUUUUCACCUGUGCAGUGCGAGAUUGGCCAGCCGGUUUAAAAACCCCUCCAAACAAUCAAAGGUUGACCUCGGAUCAGGUAGGGAUACCCGCUGAACUUAAGCAUAUCAAUAAGCGGAGGA
RNAcentral lists this unclassified non-coding RNA (425 nucleotides) under soil metagenome. RNAcentral's name for it is "partial contains 5.8S ribosomal RNA, internal transcribed spacer 2, and large subunit ribosomal RNA". The stretch from base 1 to 120 matches the Rfam family "5.8S ribosomal RNA", at positions 35 to 154 of the family's 154-position model. The record is from RNAcentral.